Molecule: ribosomal RNA, 479 nt
Filed under: uncultured bacterium
Lineage: Bacteria
Description: partial 16S ribosomal RNA
Rfam family: Bacterial small subunit ribosomal RNA
Source: RNAcentral
GAUGAACGCUAGCGGGAGGCCUAACACAUGCAAGCCGAGCGGUAUUGUUUCUUCGGCAAUGAGAGAGCGGCGUACGGGUGCGUAACACGUGUGCAACCUGCCUUUAUCUGGGGGAUAGCCUUUCGAAAGGAAGAUUAAUACUCCAUAAUAUAUUGAACGGCAUCGUUUAAUAUUGAAAGCUCCGGCGGAUAGAGAUGGGCACGCGCAAGAUUAGCUAGUUGGUGAGGUAACGGCUCACCAAGGCGAUGAUCUUUAGGGGGCCUGAGAGGGUGAUCCCCCACACUGGUACUGAGACACGGACCAGACUCCUACGGGAGGCAGCAGUGAGGAAUAUUGGUCAAUGGGGGCAAGCCUGAACCAGCCAUCCCGCGUGAAGGACGACUGCCCUAUGGGUUGUAAACUUCUUUUGUAUAGGGAUAAACCUACCCUCGAGAGGGUAGCUGAAGGUACUAUACGAAUAAGCACCGGCUAACUCCGUG